AAUUCGAUUAGUUUGAUCCUGGCUCAGAGCGAACGCUGGCGGCAGGCCUAACACAUGCAAGUCGAGCGCCCCUUUCGGGGGGAGCGGCGGACGGGUGAGUAACACGUGGGAACGUGCCCUUCGGUUCGGGACAACCUCGGGAAACUGAGGCUAACACCGGAUACGCCCUUUUGGGGAAAGGUUACGCCGAAGGAGCGGCCCGCGUUCGAUUAGGUAGUUGGUGGGGUAAAGGCUCACCAAGCCUGCGAUCGAUAGCUGGUCUGAGAGGAUGAUCAGCCACACUGGGACUGAGACACGGCCCAGACUCCUACGGGAGGCAGCAGUGGGGAAUCUUGCGCAAUGGGCGAAAGCCUGACGCAGCCAUGCCGCGUGAAUGAUGAAGGUCUUAGGAUUGUAAAAUUCUUUCAGCGGGGACGAUAAUGACGGUACCCGCAGAAGAAGCCCCGGCUAACUUCGUGCCAGCAGCCGCGGUAAUACGAAGGGGGCUAGCGUUGCUCGGAUUUACUGGGCGUAAAGGGAGCGUAGGCGGGACGACAAGUUGGGGGUGAAAGCCCGGGGCUCAACCUCGGAAUUGCCUUCAAGACUGUCGACCUGGAGUUUGGGAGAGGUGAGUGGAACUCCGAGUGUAGAGGUGAAAUUCGUAGAUAUUCGGAAGAACACCAGUGGCGAAGGCGACUCACUGGCCCAAUACUGACGCUGAGGCUCGAAAGCGUGGGGAGCAAACAGGAUUAGAUACCCU
RNAcentral lists this ribosomal RNA (739 nucleotides) under uncultured bacterium. RNAcentral describes it as "bacterial SSU rRNA". It matches the Rfam family "Bacterial small subunit ribosomal RNA", at positions 1 to 788 of the family's 1533-position model. The record is from RNAcentral.